Molecule: long non-coding RNA, 1878 nt
Organism: Mustela lutreola (European mink)
Lineage: Eukaryota; Metazoa; Chordata; Mammalia; Carnivora; Mustelidae
Exons: 2
Source: RefSeq, a predicted model, not a curated record
CAAGAUCAGUUGUAGGAUGCUAGUCAUGCUAAUAGGUAGAACAAUCAAAAGCCCUUGGAUUUAUGAGUCUCCAUUGAUCUUAAGUCAUUCUUCUCUUCAAUAUUUAAGCUCCCUUGGAAAAGAAACUCUAAGUUACUAAACAUCUAAUAGGAGAUAGAUUACUUGCAUCAUUCAGGAGAAGGAAACGCAGAUUCUUACAAGGAAUGUGGGCCAAUGUUUAGAGAUUAUAAACAGAUAGCUAAAAAGAUGUGACCUAGAGAUAGAAGGUUACCCUCAAUUUACAAAACUGUUUCUAUAAAGUUGUAAGUGAAAUGUCAUACUGGAGCCUAAUCUCUCACUGACAGAUUAUACCAGUGGUUCUAAUUUUUGAUUUUGGGAACCCGCACUCCAUAACAACAUGUUAACAUAAAUAACAUUUUAAAAAAUAACUAUAUAUUCCAACACAAAAAUAGAAAGGCAUUGUAUUCACUUUUGUAAAUAACUACAUUACACUUAAUAGUAGCUGCAUUUUUCUAUCUCCGUAUUCGAUCUGCUGCAUCAUAUUGUUUUGGUUGAAGUUCUGAUGACAAUCUAGCCUCACAUGGCUAUGUCAGUGGAAAAAGGAAGAACUUGUGAACCCCCUGAAAGUUUCUAAGGGCCCUCAGAAUUUUCAGACCACACUUUGAGAAUCACUGGAUUAGCAGUACAUUCCAAAAGGGGGGGAAAAACCUGCCCAAUUAAUGAGUUGAUAGCUUUUUGAAAGAUAAGGAGUCUAGUCAAGGCAUGUGGAGAAUUGUUGUAUUCUAGUACAGUGUUCUGAAAGCUUAAUGUGUAUACAAAUCACUUGGAAUCCUUGUUAAGAUUCAGAUUCUGAUUCAGACGGUGUGGUGUGAAGCUCUAGAACCUCUAUCUCUGAGAAGGUCCGGAGUGAUACCAACACUGCUGAUCCCUGGACCUCACUUUGAGUAGCAAUGCUGUAGUAUAUUUUAAUAUACACAUCACCAGAAAGAAUGCACAGAGCGCCAUAGAGCAUAAAGGAGGGGAAUGGCAGAGGGAGAGGGAGAAGCAGGCUCUCAGGUGAGUGGGGAGCCCAAUGCAGAGUUCAAUCCCAGGACUCUGGGAUCAUAACCUGAGCAGAAUGCAGACACUCAACCAACCGAGCCACCCAAGUGCCCCACCUUUAAAAUUUUUCCACUUGAUACUUGGUUCCUAGAGAGAGCCUCAUUGAAGCAAGAAACCAGCUCCUAAUGAGAUUUUCUUCUUAGAAAUUCUACUUUGUUAUGGACACUUAUUUGCUUAACAUGAGACUUACUGAAAAGCAAAAACCACCCCCAACCCUAGUCUAACAAGGCUUCAAUUCCUAAAAAGCCAACAUGAUUGAUUUUUAGAUCCAGCUGUGUAAGACCAGCCAAGUUAGUCUUGGAAGGUAAUUCUGCUCCCAGGCAUUGUAAUUCCUGUUACUAUCUUAGCUUAAUUAAUUGUAUCUCAUAGAAGCUGAAAACACUCACAUAUUUCUCCUUUAUACAAGUAACCGAAAGCCCUACAAAUUACAAUGUGCAGAAUACCAUAUAAAAGAAUUCUCAUAAAAUUGACUCGUUUUCAUCAAGGUGCAGCUGCUUAGUUUCCCCUGACUUGCAUAGCAUCUACUUGAAUGCAUAUUCUUCUUUGUGAUUAUUGAAAUUUAGGUUCAGUACAAAUCACGGCAAAAACUAAAGUUUUCAUCUUUAAUGAAAUGACCUUGGAAAUAAUGUACAUUUCCAUGACACCAGUACUACAGUUUUCGGAGUCACAGUAAGAUACACAGAAUUAUAUCCGUAAUUAAUAUGAAUGCCAACAUUUCAAGCAGUAAUUUCUGUUACAUGGCAAACAAAAUCAAGAAAGCAACCAUCAAACAAAAGA